UGUUGUUCAGCCAUUAUGCAUAAUAAUAUUGUUAGUAUGUAGAAAAUGUGAUCAGUGAAAUGAUACAGAUUGUAAAACUGUUCAAGUUCAGGGUAAUUCAACAGGUUUUAUUCCAUUCCACUAUUAGAACAAUACAACAGUACAUCCAUUAACCUCAGCUGUCUAAUACAUUAAGUCAAUAAAUGGCUGUUAUAUUAACAGAACAUAAUUAAAAGACAACAAUAAUGCUCUCAGGCAGCGUCCAAAGAAGGGCUCAGAUUCCUUCCAUUCAACUUAGCUGAAAGGGAGCACUUGCAAGGUGGGCUCAGCUUCUUUUCCCAGGCAGCUUUUCUGUUUGUUAGGUCAGAAGAAGCACAGGCUGGAGAUGAAGUAAAAGCUCACUCUAAGGAAGGCUGAGAUAUCAGAACAGGCUUCCUCGAGGCAGCAGUCACAGCCCAGGGCUGACCCACUUAACAAAGUGCUUGGAUGCAGCUCUCAUCUUGAACAGUUGAAGUCAGGGCAAUCUCACGUAGAUGUAGGAGUCGCAUGUCCAUUUCAACCAGAGCAUGCAGUGCCAAAGAGCCAAUCGCUUCAGGGAUCAUCCCUCUUCCUCUUCACAUUCCCCAAGAUGAAAACCUUCAGCAGCAAACGAGUGAGGCUAACGCACAGAAAGAGACCACACACCCACAUCUUUGUGAGGUAUGUAAGGAAUUACUGUUUUAAGUUAGAGACAGGCAGGUAUCCACUCCACCACAAACCCUCAAGCGAGCUAAGCCUAGUCCUUCCCCUACAGGGCAGAUAGUCUCAGGCAUCUCAGAUCCCACAGGCAACGCAGAACAGUAGCACUGACAUAAGAAAUAAUCCCACCAAAAAGCCUUCAGGAGCCAAUAAUUCUGCAAAAAGGAAUUAUCACUCAGUUACCAGUAUUUUAGAGGUAGGCAUUGAAAUAAUAAUAGAAUUUUAUCCUGAAGGCAUCCUUCACAGUUUUGCUCUAGUAAGAAGAUGAAGCAGGAGACAAGCAAUUGAGGGAGAGCUAGCUUUUCACUAUUUAAAUCCAGAUCUUUUUAAGUCCCCCAUCUAGCAAUUGGGCACACUCUUACAUACCAAGUAGAGUGUACUGUAUCUGCCCAAAGAGAUAGCUUAAUUUUUUUUAUAUAUAUAUAAAUCAGUUGUCCUCAGAGAGCUCUCAGAACAGCUUUUACCAGCAUUUCCAUUUAUUUCCCCAUUUGGUUAUGUUUUUUCUUGCCAAGAAGAAAUGACAAUAAAGCCCUAGAGAGCAUAAUAGCA
This 1266-nucleotide long non-coding RNA is filed under the name Coturnix japonica (Japanese quail). RNAcentral's name for it is "lncRNA (ENSCJPG00005015403.1)". The record is from RNAcentral. Lineage: Eukaryota; Metazoa; Chordata; Aves; Galliformes; Phasianidae.